GGAUUGCCUCAGUAACGGCGAGUGAAGCGGCAAGAGCUCAAAUUUGAAAGCUGGCUCCUUCGGAGUCCGCAUUGUAAUUUGCAGAGGAUGCUUUGGGUGCGGCCCCCGUCUAAGUGCCCUGGAACGGGCCGUCAGAGAGGGUGAGAAUCCCGUCUUGGGCGGGGUGUCCGUGCCCGUGUAAAGCUCCUUCGACGAGUCGAGUUGUUUGGGAAUGCAGCUCUAAAUGGGUGGUAAAUUUCAUCUAAAGCUAAAUACUGGCCGGAGACCGAUAGCGCACAAGUAGAGUGAUCGAAAGAUGAAAAGCACUUUGAAAAGAGAGUUAAACAGCACGUGAAAUUGUUGAAAGGGAAGCGCUUGCGACCAGACUCGCCCGCGGGGUUCAGCCGGCAUUCGUGCCGGUGUACUUCCCCGUGGGCGGGCCAGCGUCGGUUUGGGCGGCCGGUCAAAGGCCCCUGGAAUGUAGUGCCCUCCGGGGCACCUUAUAGCCAGGGGUGCAAUGCGGCCAGCCUGGACCGAGGAACGCGCUUCGGCACGGACGCUGGCAUAAUGGUCGUAAACGACCCGUCUUGAAACACGGACCAAGGAGUCUAACAUCUACGCGAGUGUUCGGGUGUCAAACCCGUGCGCGCAGUGAAAGCGAACGGAGGUGGGAGCCCCCUUGCGGGGCGCACCAUCGACCGAUCCUGAUGUCUUCGGAUGGAUUUGAGUAAGAGCGUAGCUGUGGGGACCCGAAAGAUGGUGAACUAUGCCUGAAUAGGGCGAAGCCAGAGGAAACUCUGGUGGAGGCUCGCAGCGGUUCUGACGUGCAAAUCGAUCGUCAAAUUUGGGUAUAGGGGCGAAAGACUAAUCGAACCAUCUAGUAGCUGGUUCCUGCCGAAGUUUCCCUCAGGAUAGCAGUAACGCAAAAUCAGUUUUAUGAGGUAAAGCGAAUGAUUAGAGGCAUUGGGGUUGAAACAACCUUAACCUAUUCUCAAACUUUAAAUAUGUAAGAAGCCCUUGUUGCUUAGUUGAACGUGGGCAUUAGAAUGGAGCGUUACUAGUGGGCCAUUUUUGGUAAGCAGAACUGGCGAUGCGGGAUGAACCGAACGCGAGGUUAAGGUGCCGGAAUGCACGCUCAUCAGACACCACAAAAGGUGUUAGUUCAUCUAGACAGCCCGACGGUGGCCAUGGAAGUCGGAAUCCGCUAAGGAGUGUGUAACAACUCACGGGCCGAAUGAACUAGCCCUGAAAAUGGAUGGCGCUCAAGCGUGCUACCCAUACCUCGCCGUCGGGGUAGAAACGAUGCCCCGACGAGUAGGCAGGCGUGGGGGUCCGUGACGAA
This 1321-nucleotide ribosomal RNA is filed under the name Aspergillus niger. Its description in RNAcentral is "LSU rRNA". It matches the Rfam family "Eukaryotic large subunit ribosomal RNA", at positions 72 to 1407 of the family's 3401-position model. The record is from RNAcentral. Lineage: Eukaryota; Fungi; Ascomycota; Eurotiomycetes; Eurotiales; Aspergillaceae.